CUCAUGAACGAAGGAAACUGCAGAUUUUUAGAGGAACGUUUCCGCCUGGAAAGUCUUUGAAGUUCGAGAGGCGCUGAGGUAAGAACGCACGCCAUGUAACAGGAAAUGAUGCGACCGGAGCGAUAACACAAGCGCAGUUGUGGUACUUUAGAUGCAGUUUAUUGGAGGUAAAUAAAAACCUGCACAGAGAAAUGUCCCUGCAGAGUUAAGUUUCUCUGAGUUGAACUUUGACAGUUCUUGAGUUUGCAGAAAGAGUCCGUGUUUCUGUGACUCAGCCGUCAGCAGACAGACAGGCAGGAGGACGGGUAAUGAGGCCGCGCGGCGCUGCUGCUGUCAGUCAGGGAGGAGGCUGAGCUCAUUACAGACUCACAAUGAAACCUGAAUAUCCUGUUUUCUGCUGCAGAACCAUCCGAGCCAAAACCAGAAUCUGGUGGGAGCAGCACAGACUGAACCAGCUAACAGACGUCCACGGACACUCCGGACCAGAUCUGUUUCAACUCAAAUACACACAUUUAGGUCACAUGACACUGACCAGUGAAGUCAUGGAGAGAAGAUGCAUUAACCCUCGGUUCCUCCUCUGUCCGUUUUGAGGACAUUUGUCAUUGUUUUCCUCUUUAUUUUGAGCUGACAGUCGCAGUUUUAAAGAUUAGGUCAUCAAAUUUGAUGUAAGUUCUUAUUUUUCUCUUAUAUUAAAAAACAAAAAAAAACUCGGUGUCACCUGUAGAUCUCUGUCGCCACAUUUUAGCUCCGCCCACCCUCCUUUGUCCACAAAUCGGCCAAUAGACUUCCGUUAAAAACAGGUUUUUUGAUUCAUCCACUAAACAUCAUCAGAAUUGAAUGAAACUUUACAAACCAGUUACUUUUUUAAUGAUCAGAGCUGAAGUUGUUUAAGAGAUUUGAGUCAAAAAAAUGAUUAUCUUAUGAACGCUAAACUGCAUGUCUGUUUUGGGGACAAAGUUGGCUGGAUGGAGCUUCAAAUACAAAAAAUUGAAACUACAAAAAGGAUUUAAAUUCACCAAAAUUGGUUUUAUGUUUCAUCAUUGACAUGGCCCAGACGCUAUCAAAAAGAAAAUUCGAUCUUGGUCAUUUAAAUGGUAAAUAAGGUGAUUUUGUGUUUUUUUACCAUUAAAAAUAGCAGUGACCUGGUGCACAAAAACUGACAUAAAAAGGAAAAUACAUCAAAUUUUUGAUUCAUUAUUUUUUUAAUGGUUCGAGGUGAAGUUGCUGAAAAGAUGUGAGUCAAAAAAUGAAAAAAAUGAUAAUAAAUGAUUAUUUUAUGAACACUUAUCUGCAUGUCUGUCUUGGGGACAAUGUAGGCUUUGUUAGUUUUAACCUGAGGGUUAAAACUAACUAGAAGGAGAUCCAGGGGGAGAUCUAGAGCUCCAUGGAUGGAUCCUGUCUGCUCUGGAAACACCUCAGGAGCCUACAUGAGGAGCUGGUAAACACUGCGGGGGAAACGAGGUCUCAGACUGCUGACCCUGAGGUUCAGAGAGUCCGUCAGUGAGACCCUGAUGGAGUUAGAAAUACAGAGACCGAAGUUGGAGGAGCAGACAGAGACUGAGAGCGUUUUAAGACAGAAGAAUUACUGGAUGCAGGACGUGGUUCAGGUUCUUUGUGACAGUCUGGGCGGCUCCUGUUGGCGAGAAAGAUCUUGUGAUAGACGCGGGUUUUCAGUCCCUGAAGGAGGCCGACCAGCAGGGCGCACAAUGGCGAGGAGGCCCCGAACGACCCCAUUAACCAGGGUGAGGCACUUCCCUCCAACUUUUCCUCUCACAGGUUUUCUCUCCAUCCGUCUCUUUCUUCAUCGGCCCGCUGACAGAUUGAAAGCCUUUUGGAAUAAUAGGGUCGCUCCUGGUUUGUGGCGGCAGCUGUGACGGACAGGAGGGUGCGUUCAGCGGUGCCGCCUCAACGCAGGAAGUUCACAUUGUGUUUCAGAAGAAUGGCAGCGGCGUUUAGAUGGCCAUCGUGGCUCAGAGCCGGUCUUUAAGCCCCUCUGUGAAGAUGGUGAUAAGAAGAAUGAAUGCUGUUUGUCCGACUCAGAAACAAUACGUGAGGAGAUCUGGACCUGGUCUGCAGGUUUGGGGUCGACACAGAGGAACGACGAGUCGACAAAAGUCAGAAACAGAUAAAUAAAUAAAUAGAUCAAUAAAAGAGCAAAUGUAUGUCUUUUAAACACAAGUAAUAAUCCUGUUGAAUAUUUAAGAUUUCAGGUCAGGGAGGGUCAGAUCCUUUUCUGUAAAGGUCAACCUUUUGAGGUCAUAGCAUACAGACAAAGCUGUGUAAAAAGUAACACCCACCUGUGUUUCAGACAGAGGCCAAACAGAUCUGAUGUUUCAGGAUGUUUUCCCCCUCCUGUGUGAUCCGGUUCUGCAGUCUGAGCCGCUGUGCUGUGGGUCCGGUUCAUCUUAAACCAUUAGCAGGUCAUGUUAGCUUGUUUGGGUGUCCUGUUUCUCUUUCUAAAGUCUAAUAUCCGCUCUGUUCCUCCCGGCUCUGUUAGUUUUACCCCUCCUUAAACAUCUGCUGCUGUGGAGGACAGUGGUACGGUGUCUCUGGUCUGAGAGGUAUUUCCUGAUGAUGUUAUUUUACAGCAUUUUUUAAAGACACUGGAUAUCCUCUCUCUUCAUUUCAUUUCAGAACUUUCAAGGCUGCUGGAGGUCUGCAGACGACGCACACAUCCAAACAGAGUCUGAAGGUUCCUGUAAGAAGAAGCCCAGAUGUUUCUGUGGACUUGUUGAACUUUUCAUGCAGUCUUAAGAUUCUCUGUGGUGUCCUGAGAAAAGCUAAGAAACCGGAGAAGAACUUUCUGGAGGCUGCAGAUCUGAUGCAUAAUGUAGAGCAGAUGGAUCUUUAAAACAUGAGGCGGUUCUGAAACUCCCUGUGGUUUCUGUAGGUGAUGGGGUCACACUGUGCAUGUAUACGGUCCUGUAUACUGUCAGUGAGAGGACUCUGCUGGUUCUUUGUGUUUGGGUGACUCUUAUAUGAGAUCUGUUCAGAGUUAGUGACGCUUUAAUCUGCAACAGGAAGCAGCUGAAGAGAGUCUGCGAGUGAUUAUGAGUGCAGAGUCAAAAAUGGGGCCAAAGCAAUUUAACCGAGGAGGCAAAAAAAUCACAAUUCCUUCUUUGGAG
Molecule: non-coding RNA, 3125 nt
Organism: Xyrichtys novacula (pearly razorfish)
Lineage: Eukaryota; Metazoa; Chordata; Actinopteri; Labriformes; Labridae
Source: the annotation of a GenBank genome assembly